GACGAACCGUGCAAACGUUACUCGGAAUCAUUGGGCUUAAAGCGCACGUAGGCGGCGAUGUAAGUUAAGGGUGAAAUCCCAUCGGCUCAACCGUGGAACUGCCUUUAAUACUGCAUUGCUUGAGGGAGACAGGGGCAAGUGGAACCACCGGUGGAGCGGUGAAAUGUGUUGAUAUUGGUGGGAACGCCGGUGGCGAAAGCGGCUUGCUGGUUCGUUUCUGACGCUGAGGUGCGAAAGCUAGGGGAGCGAACGGG
Molecule: ribosomal RNA, 254 nt
Filed under: uncultured bacterium
Lineage: Bacteria
Description: partial 16S ribosomal RNA
Rfam family: Bacterial small subunit ribosomal RNA
Source: RNAcentral